CCCAUCUCAGGGUCACACCUGGAGAGUUUCCAGUCCUCUACCAGUCUCGGCUACAGGAGGGAGAAUCAAGCAGAGGCCUACCCUUUCCAUUCCUAGCUCGGGCAGUAGCUAGAGCGUGGAAGGCAAUCUGCUACAAGU
Molecule: small nucleolar RNA, 138 nt
Organism: Ornithorhynchus anatinus (platypus)
Lineage: Eukaryota; Metazoa; Chordata; Mammalia; Monotremata; Ornithorhynchidae
Source: RefSeq, a predicted model, not a curated record